Molecule: ribosomal RNA, 638 nt
Filed under: uncultured bacterium
Lineage: Bacteria
Description: bacterial SSU rRNA
Rfam family: Bacterial small subunit ribosomal RNA
Source: RNAcentral
GCAUGGCUCAGUGUGAAAAACUCCGGUGGUAUGGGAUGGACCCGCGUCUGAUUAGGCAGUUGGCGGGGUAACGGCCCACCAAACCGACGAUCAGUAGCCGGCCUGAGAGGGCGACCGGCCACAUUGGGACUGAGACACGGCCCAAACUCCUACGGGAGGCAGCAGUGGGGAAUAUUGCACAAUGGGGGAAACCCUGAUGCAGCGACGCCGCGUGAGCGAAGAAGUAUUUCGGUAUGUAAAGCUCUAUCAGCAGGGAAGAUAAUGACGGUACCUGACUAAGAAGCCCCGGCUAACUACGUGCCAGCAGCCGCGGUAAUACGUAGGGGGCAAGCGUUAUCCGGAUUUACUGGGUGUAAAGGGAGCGUAGACGGAUGGACAAGUCUGAUGUGAAAGGCUGGGGCUCAACCCCGGGACUGCAUUGGAAACUGCCCGUCUUGAGUGCCGGAGAGGUAAGCGGAAUUCCUAGUGUAGCGGUGAAAUGCGUAGAUAUUAGGAAGAACACCAGUGGCGAAGGCGGCUUACUGGACGGUAACUGACGUUGAGGCUCGAAAGCGUGGGGAGCAAACAGGAUUAGAUACCCUGGUAGUCCACGCGGUAAACGAUGAAUGCUAGGUGUCGGGUGACAAAGUCAUUCGGUG